UACGUAGGGUGCAAGCGUUAAUCGGAAUUACUGGGCGUAAAGCGUGCGCAGGCGGUUUUGUAAGUCUGUCGUGAAAUCCCCGGGCUCAACCUGGGAACUGCAUUUGUGACUGCAAGGCUAGAGUACGGCAGAGGGGGAUGGAAUUCCGCGUGUAGCAGUGAAAUGCGUAGAUAUGCGGAGGAACACCAAUGGCGAAGGCAAUCCCCUGGGCCUGUACUGACGCUCAUGCACGAAAGCGUGGGGAGCAAACAGG
Molecule: ribosomal RNA, 253 nt
Filed under: uncultured bacterium
Lineage: Bacteria
Description: partial 16S ribosomal RNA
Rfam family: Bacterial small subunit ribosomal RNA
Source: RNAcentral